CAGCAGCCGCGGUAAUACGUAGGUGGCAAGCGUUGUCCGGAAUUAUUGGGCGUAAAGGGCUCGCAGGCGGUUUCUUAAGUCUGAUGUGAAAGCCCCCGGCUCAACCGGGGGGGGUCAUUGGAAACUGGGAAACUUGAGUGCAGAAGAGGAGAGUGGAAUUCCACGUGUAGCGGUGAAAUGCGUAGAGAUGUGGAGGAACACCAGUGGCGAAGGCGACUCUCUGGUCUGUAACUGACGCUGAGGAGCGAAAGCGUGGGGAGCGAACAGGAUUAGAUACCCGAGUAGUCCCUGUCUCUUAUAC
Molecule: ribosomal RNA, 301 nt
Filed under: uncultured bacterium
Lineage: Bacteria
Description: partial 16S ribosomal RNA
Rfam family: Bacterial small subunit ribosomal RNA
Source: RNAcentral